Castor canadensis (American beaver) is the source of this 2640-nucleotide non-coding RNA. Lineage: Eukaryota; Metazoa; Chordata; Mammalia; Rodentia; Castoridae. The record is from RefSeq and is a predicted model, not a curated record.
GUGGGAGACCUACCUGAUGCAGAUAUUAAACCUCCAGAAAAUGUACUGUUUGUGUGUAAAUUGAAUCCAGUGACCACAGAUGAGGAUCUGGAAAUUAUAUUCUCAAGAUUUGGGCCAAUAAGAAGUUGUGAAGUUAUUCGGGAUUGGAAAACAGGAGAGUCCCUCUGUUAUGCUUUUAUUGAAUUUGAAAAGGAAGAAGAUUGUGAGAAAGCAUUCUUCAAAAUGGACAAUGUACUUAUAGAUGAUAGAAGAAUACACGUGGAUUUUAGCCAGUCUGUUGCAAAGGUUAAGUGGAAAGGAAAAGGUGGAAAAUAUACCAAGAGUGAUUUCAAGGAGUAUGAAAAAGAACAGGAUAUAUCAUCCAAUUUGGUUCUAAAAGAUAAAGUAAAGCCCAAACAGGAGUAUCCUUAACAAAAAUCAGUUAAUCAGUGUGUAUUGAUCAUCUGCUCUUUAUAGAAUACUGUGUGAUAUGUUAAAAAAAGUCAUGAAGGCAAUUGAAGACAAGGUUCUUGAGUCUAGAUCAUUAGUGAAGGAAUAACUUAGUUUAUUGUUAUCAUUUGUCAUUACAUGUAUUUUGCUUUUUCAUAUACCCUGUAUUAUGGAGAAAAUUGGGUUUAAAGGAAGCUUUAGCCUAAAUCUUUUACCUUUCUUCUUAGCAGUAGGAAGUGCCUUAUUCCCAGGAGAUUUUAUUGUCUGCAUAUAGUAAUGUUUUAGAGUCCUUAUUAUCAGAAUUUUUCUGUGCCAAUCAUUCUCUUAUGUUUAAACUUCCUUAUCUAGAUAGUAAAAUCCUAUAGUUCUUUGUUACAAGAUUAGGUUGCUUUUUUCUGCCUAAUAUAUUGUCAUUUUAGAAACAAAGAUUUGUUAGGGAAAGAUUUUUGUGUGCAAGAGUUGACUUAGUAUUAAAAAGAAAUCCAUCGACUUGACCGACUGUAUCUGGUUCUUCCAAGUUUAGGUUGAGACAUGUCAAAAGCAAUGAAACAUACUGUUCAUAUUAUGUCAUUUUCAUUUAUUCAACUGAGUUUUCCCAUUAUAAAGUUAUCACUCCACACAUUGCAAAGGUGAUUUCUUUUUGAUCAUUUCUGGUAAAUGGUGUCUUUGUUUCCUAGUUGCUGUUGGUGUUUCAGAUGUUCCCUUUUCCUAUGGUAUGUAGGCAUUUCCUUUAUAAGCAUUCAUCAAGAAGAGAUGAGUAUCAGGUUGACCUUUAUAUAGUCAUGUUUAAGAUGUGUUGAAUGUCUGCAGUGCAUAAAGCAUUGUGAGGUGUUAGAGCUAGGUAAAGUCUGAAGGGCACUGCCAACAUCAGCAUACAGAGAAGUUUUCACAGGUAGUCUGAUCAACAGCGGAGGUUUAGUCUGAAAAGAGCAACAUUACAGGGUGUAUGAUUAAAAGCUCAAAAUCAUAAAAGGUAUGGAUGGAAUACCCUUGAGGGUUUUUUUUGUUGUUGUUUUGGCAGCGCUGGGGUUUGAACUCAGAGCCUUGUGCUUGCUAGGCAGGCGCUCCACCACUUGAACCACACCUUUUUGGUUUUAGUUAUUUUUCAGAUAGAGUCUCAUGCUUUUUGCCCAGAACUGACCUUGGACCUCAGUCCUCCCGAUCUGUGCCUGUCGAGUAGCUGGUGUUAUAGAAGUACACCAACAUGCUCAGCUUUCCAAAUAUUUGAAGUUAGCCACUAAUGACUGACUAGAAGAAAGGGGCAUGCAGCACAAAUAAAAGGAAGGACAGUUGUAAAGCAUAAAGUAAAGCCUUUUUCUCCCUGGAGGUAGUUCAGGCUGCAAAGAAGGAAUGUGUAGGUCUGGUAUGUAGCUCAGCUGUAAAGUGCUUGCCUACCAAGCACAGGCACUAAGUUUGAUCCUCAGCAUGCAAGAAACAAAACGAAAAAAGUAAUGCACAGUGCUGAGAUAUUUUAAAUGUGAGAAUUAAAAUGUUUUAAAUUUAAGAAGAUAGAUUGCUAAGAGUUAAGAAAGGAGAGUAAGCAUAUUUGAGAAUCCCUAGUCUAGUGCUGUCAGCAGAGCUUCUGCAGCAAUGAAAAUGAACCAUAUCUCUAGUGUGGCCACCAACCACAUAUGCCUGGUGAGUGUGUAAGAUGGACUGAGGAACUGAAUUUUUUUCUAACUUUUGUUUAAUUUCAGUUAAAGAACCACAUCUUGCUAGUAUUGAACAGUACAGCUUCUAGCCUUCUGAAGUUGAUGUAAAAGACAGGAUUUUGGAGGGAUUUGAUACCUUCUUAAAGUGUUGGUUUUAGUGGAGAGUGGAAGAUGGUGGAUAAGCAAGGAAAGAAGAGGUAUAAAUGUCUGGGUGAUAAAACAGGUAAUGAAUAAAUACUUACUUAGCAUCAGUUACAUCCCCAGUUUAGGAGUGAAGUUACUGUUCCUGCCCACAUGGAGCUUACAUUUUAUUGUUGGAGGAAUUAUCAUAACAUAAUUACCAUUAAUUAUGUCUAGGAUAUUGCAAAGAAGUACAUUUAUAAGAUCUGAGACUUAACAUUAAGGGUGAGGGGUUAAGAAAUACCCUCAAGUAACACUAAGGGAAGUAAAGUUAAAGCUGCAAUAGAUGGCUGAGUCACAUGCUGCCUUAAUUGUGAUCCAUCAUUUAAGAAAGUUAGGGUGCAGAUUGCUUAUCUGAGUCCCAGCCGAGGCUGUGAGA